Molecule: ribosomal RNA, 301 nt
Filed under: uncultured bacterium
Lineage: Bacteria
Description: partial 16S ribosomal RNA
Rfam family: Bacterial small subunit ribosomal RNA
Source: RNAcentral
CAGUAGCCGCGGGAAUACCGAGGGUGCGAGCGUUAAUCGGAUUUACUGGGCGUAAAGCGUGCGUAGGCGGCUUCUUAAGUCGGAUGUGAAAUCCCUGAGCUUAACUUAGGAAUUGCAUUCGAUACUGGGAAGCUAGAGUAUGGGAGAGGAUGGUAGAAUUCCAGGUGUAGCGGUGAAAUGCGUAGAGAUCUGGAGGAAUACCGAUGGCGAAGGCAGCCAUCUGGCCUAAUACUGACGCUGAGGUACGAAAGCAUGGGGAGCAAACAGGAUUAGAUACCCCUGUAGUCCCUGUCUCUUAUAA